This 497-nucleotide ribosomal RNA is filed under the name uncultured bacterium. RNAcentral describes it as "partial 16S ribosomal RNA". It matches the Rfam family "Bacterial small subunit ribosomal RNA", at positions 28 to 507 of the family's 1533-position model. The record is from RNAcentral.
GAUGAACGCUGGCGGCGUGCCUAAUACAUGCAAGUCGAGCGAACACACGAGGAGCUUGCUCCUCUGCCGUUAGCGGCGGACGGGUGAGUAACACAUGGAUCACCUACCUCUAUGACUUGGAUAACUUCGGGAAACCACAUCUACUACCGGCUAAUAUAUUGUACCGCAUGGUUCAAUAGUUCAACACGGUUUUCCUGUCACUUAUAGAUGGUUCCGCGCCGCAUUAGCUAGUUGGUAAGGUAACGGCUUACCAAGGCAACGAUGCGUAGCCGACCUGAGAGGGUGAUCGGCCACACUGGAACUGAGACACGGUCCAGACUCCUACGGGAGGCAGCAGUAGGGAAUCUUCGGCAAUGGGCGAAAGCCCGACGGAGCAACGCCGCGUGAGUGAUGAAGGUCUUCGGAUCGUAAAACUCUGUUAUUAGGGAAGAAAAAAUGUGUAAGUAACUAUGCACGUCUUGACGGUACCUAAUCAGAAAGCCACGGCUAACUACGUG